CCUGGCUCAGGAUGAACGCUGGCGGCGCAUUUAAGACAUGCAAGUCGAACGAAAAUUUACGCUUAAAGAGUUGAUUAGUUUACUAAGAGAUGAUUUAUUGUAAAUUUUAGUGGCGGACUGGUGAGUAAUACAUAGGUAAUCUGCCUUUUAGAGGGGAAUAACUAGGAGAAAUCCUAGCUAAUACCGCGUAAGACCACACUUAGGCAUCUAAGAGAGGUCAAAGGAGUAAUCCGCUAAAAGAUGAGCCUGUGGCUGAUUAGUUAGUUGGUGGGGUAAGAGCCUACCAAGACGAUGAUCAGUAGCCGAGCUGAGAGGCUGGCCGGCCACAUUGGGACUGAGAUACGGCCCAGACUCCUACGGGAGGCAGCAGUUGGGAAUAUUGGACAAUGGAGGAAACUCUGAUCCAGUGACGCCGCGUGAAGGAAGAAGGUCUUCGGAUUGUAAACUUAUUUUAUCAGGGAAGAAGAAAGUGACAGUACCUGAAGAAAAAGGACCGGCAAACUACGUGCCAGCAGCCGCGGUAAUACGUAGGGUCCAAGCGUUAUCCGGAUUUACUGGGUGUAAAGGGCGAGUAGACGGCGCUGUAAGUCAGCUGUGAAAACUUAGGGCUCAACCUUAAGCCUGCAGCUGAAACUGUAGUGCUAGAGUGCAGGAGAGGUAAGCGGAAUUCCUAGUGUAGCGGUGAAAUGCGUAGAUAUUAGGAGGAACACCAGUGGCGAAGGCGGCUUACUGGACUGUAACUGACGUUGAGGCGCGAAAGUGUGGGGAGCAAACAGGAUUAGAUACCCUGGUAGUCCACACCGUAAACGAUGGAUACUAGGUGUAGGCGAGAUAUCGUCUGUGCCGGCGCAAACGCAAUAAGUAUCCCACCUGGGGAGUACGGCCGCAAGGUUGCAACUCAAAUGAAUUGACG
This 913-nucleotide ribosomal RNA is filed under the name uncultured Bacillota bacterium. Its description in RNAcentral is "bacterial SSU rRNA". It matches the Rfam family "Bacterial small subunit ribosomal RNA", at positions 18 to 915 of the family's 1533-position model. The record is from RNAcentral. Lineage: Bacteria; Bacillati; Bacillota.